RNAcentral lists this non-coding RNA (28 nucleotides) under Rattus norvegicus (Norway rat). Lineage: Eukaryota; Metazoa; Chordata; Mammalia; Rodentia; Muridae. The record is from RNAcentral.
UUCAUAGUUGAGGGCUUUCCACAGAAGC